AAAGUAAGAUUAAAAAUUUCAUUGACAGAAAAGGAAAUUCCAUUUACCAAAGGUGCCAAAUUGCACUAAACUAAAACAACUUCUAAAAAAGGAAACAUUUAGAAAGCCUCAAAAGUACAACUUAAACUUCCCUAAAAAUUUGAAGAGUAUUUUGAGAAUUACCUAACUCCAGAGCAGUUGUUGACAGAAUAUACAUGUUCAACACUGUAACGCCAUGUAAAUGUUGUCAAGAGGCUAAAACUACCACCAAAGAGGCAACAAACCUAUUUAUUCCACCACGGUACCUCCUGCUCCUCCCUCCUCCCUCCUACCUAUCAGAAAAUGUGCAUCUCCAUCCAGCCCACAAAUAACCAGAAACAUUCCUCACCACCACACAACGAGCCUCACCCACUGCUAUCCACUACUUUAGUAUUCUACUUCCCCGCUCAAACUUGAAGAAUGGGUGAUUUCUCUUGCUCUUCCCCAUCACUACAACAAGUAUUACUCACAAUCUUCCUCACUUCCAC
Molecule: long non-coding RNA, 506 nt
Filed under: Populus tremula
Lineage: Eukaryota; Viridiplantae; Streptophyta; Magnoliopsida; Malpighiales; Salicaceae
Description: long non-coding RNA (PTRE_LNC000090)
Source: RNAcentral